ACGGGUGAGUAAUGUCUGGGGAUCUGCCCGAUAGAGGGGGAUAACCACUGGAAACGGUGGCUAAUACCGCAUAACGUCGCAAGACCAAAGAGGGGGACCUUCGGGCCUCUCACUAUCGGAUGAACCCAGAUGGGAUUAGCUAGUAGGCGGGGUAAUGGCCCACCUAGGCGACGAUCCCUAGCUGGUCUGAGAGGAUGACCAGCCACACUGGAACUGAGACACGGUCCAGACUCCUACGGGAGGCAGCAGUGGGGAAUAUUGCACAAUGGGCGCAAGCCUGAUGCAGCCAUGCCGCGUGUAUGAAGAAGGCCUUCGGGUUGUAAAGUACUUUCAGCGGGGAGGAAGGCGAUGUGGUUAAUAACCGCGUCGAUUGACGUUACCCGCAGAAGAAGCACCGGCUAACUCCGUGCCAGCAGCCGCGGUAAUACGGAGGGUGCAAGCGUUAAUCGGAAUUACUGGGCGUAAAGCGCACGCAGGCGGUCUGUUAAGUCAGAUGUGAAAUCCCCGGGCUUAACCUGGGAACUGCAUUUGAAACUGGCAGGCUUGAGUCUCGUAGAGGGGGGUAGAAUUCCAGGUGU
This 578-nucleotide ribosomal RNA is filed under the name uncultured bacterium. Its description in RNAcentral is "bacterial SSU rRNA". It matches the Rfam family "Bacterial small subunit ribosomal RNA", at positions 102 to 676 of the family's 1533-position model. The record is from RNAcentral.